RNAcentral lists this ribosomal RNA (1411 nucleotides) under metagenome. RNAcentral's name for it is "bacterial SSU rRNA". It matches the Rfam family "Eukaryotic small subunit ribosomal RNA", at positions 3 to 1183 of the family's 1831-position model. The record is from RNAcentral.
CCUGGUUGAUCCUGCCAGUGGGAUAUGCUCGUCUAAAGAUUUAAGCCAUGCAAAUCUAAGUAUAGAUUGUAUAUUUUUGAGACUGUGAACGGCUCAUUAUAACAGUUAUUGUUUAUUUGAUGUAUAAAAUGGUUUGGGAUUUAUUCCAGAUCAGAUAGAAGGAUAACCACGGAAAAUCUGCGGCUAAUACUUGAGAAAAAGGGGAACACUCAGUGGACCUCUGUAUUUAUAAGAAUCAGCAAAACCAGGGGCUCUGGCAACAGGGUCUUUUCCAAAAGGUGAUCCAUUAUAACUUAAACAGACCGCACAGAUGGCGGGGCAGCCUGCCGGCGGCGAAACAUAAAAAUUUCUGACCCAUCAAAAUUAUGUUGUUUGGGUAGUGGCCAAACAAGAUGUUAACGGGUAACGGAGAAUUAGGGUUCGAUUCCGGAGAAGAAGCUUGAGAAACGGCUACUAUUUCUAAGGAAAGCAGCAGGCGCGCAAAUUACCCAAUUCCAAAUCGGAGAGGUAGUGGCAAUAUAUAACGAUAUGGGACUCGAUACGAGUCUUAUAAUCGGAAUGAGUACGAUGUAAAAUAGCUAACGAGUAUCAAUUGGAGGGCAAGUCUGGUGCCAGCAGCCGCGGUAAUACCAGCUCCAAAAGCAUAUUUCAAAGUUGCUGCAGUUAAAAAGCUCGUAGUUGGAAUCUUAGUGGUUCAUUUGAUCGAUGCGAUUGUGAUUGAGUUCAUGGUUGCGUUGUCAUGGGCCGUUUUUUUAGACACACUGGGGUAUGUUGGGCGUGGCUGAUUAAUUUUGGUUGCGUUUGUGUGCGUUGGCAACAGCGUGCACAGGGGGCGGUUGCAUGGAGGAGGGGAAACUCUUUUCUGUGUGGUUGUCUUUCCAUGGCUCCUUGUAUACUGUGAAAAAAUUAGAGCGUUCAAAGCAGGCGGUUGGGGGGACGGGAAACUGUUUCCUCAUUGUUUCGCCAGUGAAUAGAAAAGCAUGGGAUAUUAGAAGAGGACGAUCUUGUUUAGAUUUUUUUGGUUUUCAAAAUGAGAUUGUAAUGAUCAAAAGGGACAGUUGGAGCGAUUUGUACUUCCUGGUAAGAGGUGAAAUUUGUAGACCCAGGAAAGACAAACAGAUGCGAAAGCGAGUCGCUAAGAUGUUCCCAUUAAUCAAGAACGAAAGCAAGGGGAUCGAAGGUGAUUAGAUACCGCUGUAGUCCUUGCUGUAAACGAUAUGAACUGGGACUUGGCAGUAGGGGAAGUCCCUUGACAAGCGUAGCCUUUGUGUUGCGUGUCGUCUUGGAAAAAAUAGACACCCUUUGCCAGAGCCUAAAGAGAAAUCUUAAGUUUUUACAUUCCGGGGGGAGUAUAGUCGCAAGGCCGGAACUUAAAGGAAUUGACGGAAGGGCAUCACCGGGCUGUGGAACC